UUUGAAAUUAAACAUCCAAUGGUCGACCAUUCGUUUGUUAAAUUAUCAUUUUCAACUACAUCCGAUUAGGUCUAAUCUGGAUUGGUUCAGCCCACACUUCUAUAAAAAUAAUGUUACAAGUUUUGAAUUUUAUGUUUGGAUCUAAAAUAUACGUUCAAUGGAGAAAGUCUUUCAUUCACAUGCAAUCUAGUGAACAAUCUUCUUAAUCAUUAUCAUUUUUUACUCUUUUUUAUGUCUUUUCAUUUCAUUUUGCUUGUUCUUCAUUAAUCAUGUGUGAGUAAAUUAUCGCCUUAAUGGUUGAUUCUUAAUGUGUUUAGCAUAAAAUCUACUCGUUUUCAUAAUCUAGAAUUUAGAUGAAAACAAUUAAGGAGUUUGAGAGGGGAAGCUAGAGAGAAUUAGAGAAUCAUUUUUUUUGCUAGCAAGAAUCAGAAAAUCAUGAGUUCGUCAUUUAAUUUUUGUAUAAGAUACUCUGAGUUACUUUCACAUUAAUUGGCAUCUCUAAUUUUCUAUUUAUUUACAUAAAAAACUAGAUAAUUAAUUUACUGUGACAAGAAAGGAUCAAGGACGAUCAUAAGUAGCAGUCGGCUACCCCUCAUGGUAACAUGAAGUGUUCACUGAAGAAAUAUAACUAUGAGAUCGAUUGGUAAUGACUGUUACUUGUGACGGUAGAGUAAAAAUUUUCACUAUAGAGACUUUGACCGCAAAAACUUUGUUGUAAACACUUUAACUUUUUAAAAUUUUAUCGUCAACAAAAAUAACUAUAAAAGAUGAAAUAUUUUUUUCUAUUAUAUAUAAUUUUUAUAAAUAUAUGAUGAUAAAUUCAUAUGUAACAUAGUGACAAAUAAU
This 846-nucleotide long non-coding RNA is filed under the name Capsella rubella. RNAcentral describes it as "long non-coding RNA (CRUB_LNC000936)". Lineage: Eukaryota; Viridiplantae; Streptophyta; Magnoliopsida; Brassicales; Brassicaceae. The record is from RNAcentral.